RNAcentral lists this ribosomal RNA (254 nucleotides) under uncultured bacterium. RNAcentral describes it as "partial 16S ribosomal RNA". It matches the Rfam family "Bacterial small subunit ribosomal RNA", at positions 524 to 776 of the family's 1533-position model. The record is from RNAcentral.
UACGUAGGGGGCGAGCGUUGUCCGGAUUUAUUGGGCGUAAAGAGCUCGUAGGCGGUUCGAUAAGUCGGACGUGAAAUCUCCACGCUCAACGUGGAGGGGCCGUUCGAUACUGUCGUGACUCGAGUCCGGUAGGGGAGUGUGGAAUUCCCGGUGUAGCGGUGAAAUGCGCAGAGAUCGGGAGGAACACCCGUAGCGAAGGCGGCACUCUGGGCCGGUACUGACGCUGAGACGCGAAAGCGUGGGGAGCGAACAGG